RNAcentral lists this ribosomal RNA (114 nucleotides) under Acanthosepion pharaonis. The record is from RNAcentral. Lineage: Eukaryota; Metazoa; Mollusca; Cephalopoda; Sepiida; Sepiidae.
AUACGGCCAUAUCACGCUGAAACACCGGUGUCCGUACGCUCACCAAAGUUAAGCAACGUCGUGUCAGGUCAGUAUCGAGAUGGGUUACCGCUUGGGAAUACCAGGUGCUGUAAG